RNAcentral lists this transfer RNA (86 nucleotides) under Candidatus Ryanbacteria bacterium CG10_big_fil_rev_8_21_14_0_10_43_42. Its description in RNAcentral is "tRNA-Leu". It matches the Rfam family "tRNA". Rfam says of the family: Transfer RNA (tRNA) molecules are approximately 80 nucleotides in length. Their secondary structure includes four short double-helical elements and three loops (D, anti-codon, and T loops). Further hydrogen bonds mediate the characteristic L-shaped molecular structure. tRNAs have two regions of fundamental functional importance: the anti-codon, which is responsible for specific mRNA codon recognition, and the 3' end, to which the tRNAs corresponding amino acid is attached (by aminoacyl-tRNA synthetases). tRNAs cope with the degeneracy of the genetic code in two manners: having more than one tRNA (with a specific anti-codon) for a particular amino acid; and 'wobble' base-pairing, i.e. permitting non-standard base-pairing at the 3rd anti-codon position. The record is from RNAcentral. Lineage: Bacteria; Candidatus Ryaniibacteriota.
GCCCAGGUGGUGGAAUGGUAUACACGGGGGACUUAAAAUCCCCUGCUCGAAAGGGCUUGUGGGUUCGAAUCCCACCCUGGGCACCA